Acinonyx jubatus (cheetah) is the source of this 5485-nucleotide long non-coding RNA. RefSeq lists it as uncharacterized. The transcript is spliced from 3 exons. The record is from RefSeq and is a predicted model, not a curated record. Lineage: Eukaryota; Metazoa; Chordata; Mammalia; Carnivora; Felidae.
CGCCGGCCCUCCCCGCUACCUCGGCUCAGCGAAGCCGGCAGGAGCGUCCGUGCGCCAACACCAAGCUCCGGACUUCAAUUCCUCUCCUGCAGGGGACCUGGCAGCCUCUUCUGUGACUCGAGGGCUAAGGUUGGAGGAGGAUACAGAAAAGCAGAAGGCAGUGCCUGCCCCGUUCCGUCCGAGUCUGGUCUCCAAGCCACCCAGGCCCAUUUCUGCACAUGCCGUGGACCGUCAUGGUGAACCCCGAUUAUCCUGACGUUGCAGCUGAAGAAGGGAAUGGAUCAAGAACGUCCAAGGCCGUGGGUCCAACUCUGUAGGAAGCGGGGCGGGGUCGGCUGGACCUCCCCGGGGUCUCUGCUGUGAAGGCCCAUCAGUGGCGGCGACAGACCGGACCCUGCUGCACAUCAGUUUAACAAGCAUGGAUCAGAUUUCUAGGUCCCAUGGGUACAGAGGCCAACGUGACAAAGGCUCUGCUCUAAGGGACCUGGGGCAGCAGCGCUCCCUGGCUGGGGUGACUGUUGCUGCGGGAGCUUCAUCAAUGCCUCCAGGGCCACUGGGCCACAGCACGGGAAGCCAGACGGAUGCGAGUGCACGCUACGUGACCGGUAUGAGGCUGCUUUCUCAUGGGGUGAUGAUUAGAGGGGAUAGAAACAGUCACAGCGGUCAGAUAUAUUUGAAAAAACAUGCGCCCUUAGAUAACUGUACUCAUGUUUCCUACAAGAGUUAACAGUUAUGCUUAAAAGGAGGGGAAAAAAAGCCUGGCCCCGUGGUCACGAUGUUUUGAAAACAGGGGAUUCCCAUGUACUUCCAGGUUGUGAUCCAGCGGGAUAGAAUCUGGUGACUAACCACAGCCUGGGGUGUAGGGGAAAGUGGGCUCGCUGUCCUGCCCAUGCCCCCAGGGUGACCCUCAGGGUCUUCGGGUCCACCCCCUCACCCACAAAAUGGGGCUGAGACUUGUGUGACAGGGCUGGGCACAGAAGGGCAUGUGGGAGAUUCGGCCUUUGCAGACAUCAGUGACUGUAUCGGGGGACACACUUGAGGGGCCUGGAACCUUGUCCCCCUCAACAGAAGAGCCAGUGCAGGGGCUGCUGCUCCUUCAGGGCUCAUCCAACCAGGGGCUGUGUCCCCAGGGGCAACAGGACCACAGAUUCUGGUGUCCAGAAGGCAGGAAGGUGAGCAGGGACCCCAACAAAUGCUUGCAGUUGUGGUGCCCCUGCCCAAUGUCCUGCUUCCCGUCCUCCCAUAGGAAAGCUGGUGCCACCUCUGUAUCUGGGUAGAGAACCCAUAACCCGGUCCACCUUCCUUCAUCAGACUUCAGGGAGCAGCGGUUUUCCUGGGGCCCCUCUGGUGCGAGGGACUCCCCUCCCCAUGCUAACCCACGCCUGCCUGAGACCUGGGUCUCAGAUCUCACACUGAAACACGAGAGCAGUAGGGCAGGUCUAUGCACAGGACACAUCCUGUGCCUUCACCAGCCCUCUGCCAUCUGGAGAGCAUUGGAGAUGCCAGGCACGGAGAGGACGCCCAGGCCACGGCCAAAGUCCACGGCCAUGGCAAUCCCGUCUGAAGCAUGAUCGGGAACUCGAGGUUCGCUGGUUCACAGGCGUCGCCCACCCUGCAGGCCCCCAUCUCUUCGAGCAACCUCAUGCCAGGUGAGCGCUUGGUUGGCUGCCUCCCCUGCUGGGAGAGAGACUCAGUCGGGCUGCCUUUCCUGUGCCGGCCCUGGGGUAGCCACCCUCCCCUCGAGGACCUCCCUUUCCUCUCACUGCGUCAGAGCAACCGCAUCCCAUGGGGCUGAUGGGCACGGUGGUUCAUGGACACCCAGAGAUGUGUGUGGUCACUGUGCGGGCAGCAGGGGCCAGAUUUGGGCCUUUUGGGUUUCAAAGCCCCGCUGCCUCGUCCCACCGCACUGCUGGGGGCUUCUUUUAAGCUUAGAGGCACAUUUUCCUUUUUAACGUCUGUGGAAAAUAGGGUGUUGCACGAUUUAAUAGCAUUUUGGAGGCGAUGUGGGAGGGUGACGAGAGAGGCUUUUGGAAGCCACUAGGCUGCUGACCCUGUGCCCGUCCCUGCCAGACUGCCCAGGGACUGGAGGAGAUAACAUCCAAGUGCCCGGCUCAGCGUCUGACACUGAGAAAGUGCUUUAGAAAGUAAAGAUUUGUUUUUUUCCUUUUCUCAGUUUGGUGUUUUAAAGCUUUAUUUUUCAACAGCCCAUUCACGUAGUUCAAAAUUUAAAACCAGCUCACUGUCACAGUGGUAAGCUCUCUCUCAUCCCUGUUCCCACCCCUCAGGAGGUCCGUAAUCUGCAUUUUUGGGUGUCUUUUGGCAUUCCCUUGAUGCACUCACAAGCAAGUGUGGAGACAUUAUUACCCCCUUGAGACAAAACUGUCAGGUUACAUGCACUGUUUUAUACUUUACUGGGCUCAGCUGAGAAAAAAAUCCCAGCGAUGGGUCUACAUCCGCUAUUUCCACAGCUGUCGGGCGUUCUGCUGUGUGGACGGACCAACGUGUACUUGUGGUCAGUCCCCUCCUGCGGAUGGGCAGGGUUCUUCCCCAUCCUGCCGCUGUGUGUCUGCCCUUCCCACGUACAGGAGGGUACAGACGACUCCAUCGCCUGCGUGGAUCUGCCCAGCUAUAAAGCCGUCAAGUGUUAGAAUGUUUUCGUGCUCCAGUUGCCCCGAAGCCAGGAAGUGAUAAGCCAGAACGAGCUGUCUCCCUGGGAGUUCGCAAAGGCUGGGCGGGGCUCAGCAGCACAGCCCCCUGAGGAAGCCUCACAGAGGGCUGUGGGGUGGGGUAGGUCUCUCGGGGCCCCGGCCAUCCCAUUCCCUGCAGCAGACCAUGGCACGCCCGGCUGCCCUCGGAGUUGAGUUUUAAUAGACCCUGGUUUUUGGGGCUGAUGGGCAGGAGGGAGGGCUCCCCAGGACUGUCAAGAUUUGGACAAGCAAAGGCCGAUGUCGCAUUUCCUCCCCUGUUCUCUGGGGGUGCUCUAAGCAGGGCAGGUGGGGAGGGGGGCUUCAUGUGACACCAGGUCCCAUCAGAUGGCGGUGGCUACUAGGCAGGCCUCUGAGCCUGUGGGGCUUGGCAGGGGAACAGCACCUGACCCCACAGCUGUGGGUGAAAAGCCGUUUCCCUAGAAGCCAGCAAAAACAUUUGCCUGGAUGCAAAGAAAGCAGCUUUCCAAAUGUCUGCAACGAGACACAGAAUAGGAGAAGAAAUUGAGAGCUAGUAUUUGGAUUGUUCUGUGCCUAAAGUUGCAAGAGCUGCUGUGCUGUGUUGAAAGGUUUAGAUGGCCGAACUGCUAAUGCCCAUUUCCAGGGAACCACUGACUGCGUCAGAGGGCAGACAAUGGAGCAAGAACGUCCCCACGGCGAUGGCUACGUCGGCCACCACGGCCCCAGUGCCUGUGCUGAGGAAAGGGCAAAUGAACUAUGUCUCCCUGGUAGAAGGUCACACAGCCCCUGAAAACUCCACUUCAAGGAACAUUCAUGGACGCGGGGAAAUAAAAUAUGUACUGAGAACAAAAGCAGAAAAUUGAACCAGGAGCAUGCAGACUCCAGCUCUGGGAUCAUGUUCUUGCAAACAGGAAAGAUGGGUCGGCUGUGGUCACAGUGGCUACAGAAAACUUAAAAUUGCACAUGUGACUCAUGUGAUUUCUGCUGGACAGUGAAUUUCACCGUUAAUAAAGAGCUAUGAAAAUGAUUACCAUCUCUCAAGUCCCCCAAGGAGUCUGGAAAUUCAUGUAUCAGAUACCUUUGCUACCGACCCGUUGAACCCACUGAUCUGACCAAGCAAACCUAUGGGAAAAUGCUCUGAGAACUGCCCAGUGAGCCUCAGUGAUCGCUAAGGAAACACGGGUCACCCGUGGCCAACCGCUAUUAAAUGGUUGUUUAGUAACUUUAGUUACUUUGAAUAAAGAUGUUUAAAAAACCCCAUUUUCCCCCCACCAUGUUUCCAAUUUCCAUCUCAAGACAGUUUCUUAGAAAAUCAAAUACCCACGAGCUUUUAUAUUCUUAGGAUGGAAUUUAAGUGUUCUGUGACAAACUGUGCACUCUGAAAUGACUUCCAGUUCUAAACAUUGGCGCCUGUGAACCUCUGACACCCUCUCCCCGGACCCUUUCCAUUUUCUGUGCACAGCCCUGAUCUCGAGGAGCCAGCCACCUGUAAAUCCCGGGGACACAUGCCCAGUGUUGAGCAGAGGGCGGUUUCAAGGCCAGUGCUGCCUCCUGAGACCCUAUGUGACUCAGGGUGCCUCUCAGAGCCUCACAAAGGGGCUGAGGCAGUCCUCGUGGGUACCUCUAAGGGGUCCUGGGAAAAUGAGAUGGCCCAGGUUUUGUAAGCUGGGAAGCAAUGAAUACUCAUCGCAUAAAGUCAAUGUGGCAAAAUCUCAUCACUGCCUCCUUUCCCUGGCUGUGCUCAAACUGCACAGGAGGCAAAUGACAUAACCACACACGUGCAUCCAAGAUGCUUCCUCCCGCAGCCCUCCCGCCCCUCCCCUGCCACACAUCCUGGAGCUGGUACAGACCAGCCUUGUGCCUGUACCUGCUACAUGCACCCUGGUGAUCGUUCCCAGGGGUGACCCUAGAGCUGUGGGUCCUAAAUGUCAAAGAGCUCAAUGAGUUUUCCCCAACUCAAGGACACAGUAUCCCUCUCAUUCCCACGGAAGGGAGGCUGAUGCAUUCGACAAAGGCUUCUGUUCUCAAAAGCCAGGAUUACGGCACAUUUUCUGGUGUUCGAUUCCUCCCUGAAGAUCUGGACUCCUGUACAGUCUUACUGCACCCACGUGACCCACACGGGGCAUACAGCAGCGCUGAUGGGAGGGGUGGGCAAAUGCUGAUCAACGUGGUCUCACGCCUGCUCCCCAAUCGAGGGGGCACCUCCUGCGUCAGUGGAAUGACAGCUGUGCACGUGGGUCUCCCUCACUGGGAUGACAACCCCUCUGAGGACAGGAUUAUGCCUUAUCCUUUCUUCUCUUUUAAGCCUCUCUUAAUGCUUAACCCAAAGGAAAGCCUGAGUUGACCUGCGAUACAUCAUACUUCCACUUUCUACUAUGGAGAAUUGCCACGAUACAUAAAAGCAUACAGAACAGGAAAACGAAGUCCCACGUGCCAUUACCCAGCUGUGGCCAGGACUACCCUGGGCCCAGCCUGUCUCGUCCGUAGCCCCUUCUGGGAGAUGUGAAAAGGGAAGGCCCUUGCCCCGAGUGGAGGUGCUGGGCAGGGGCACUGGCUUCAUGGAUUCUGGUGGUUUUGAGCACUUCCCAAAGCACAUGCCCUGAAAUUCAGCUGCCGUUUAAAAAACGUUUCUCCCCCUCAUCAUCAAGGUGUUACGUAUUAAGGGCAGAAAACUGAAAAGAAAAUGAACUUAUUUCUAAGAAAACACCCAUAACAUCACCAAGAAACAGCCACUGGUAGCCUAUGGGUUCAUUUUCUGCCAGUGUUUUAACUGCGGGCAUGUAACAUUACUGUUGGUAUUAUUUAAAAAUGGGAAUGGA